Molecule: non-coding RNA, 1975 nt
Organism: Pantherophis guttatus
Lineage: Eukaryota; Metazoa; Chordata; Lepidosauria; Squamata; Colubridae
Source: RefSeq, a predicted model, not a curated record
GCUGAACGAGUUGUUAUUACGGAGGUGGUGUGCCAAGGAGUGAAAUACUGAGUUAUUUCUUUUGCUUCUGUAUAAAUAGGCGUAGAAUCUGCAUCUCCUUGUACUGAAUGGGAUGAAUUAUCAAUGAAGCACGUUAGAGCUGCUUUAUAAAACUGGGUUUUGUUUUGUUUUUUUAUCUUGCUGUAAGGCAAUAUUCCUCAGUCUUCAGUUGAUUGACUCCCAAACAUUUAUUAUACGGAAAUAAUACAAUGAAUGCUACUUAACUAACCAAAUAAUGUCAACUCCGUGGCUAGCAAUAGUUCUUAGAUUUAUAUACCACUUCACAAUGUUUUAGAGCCCUGUCUAAGCGGGUUUGUAGAGUCAACAUAUGGCCCGCAAUAAUCUGGUUCCUCAUUUUACCGACCAUGGAAGGAUGGAAGGCUGACUCAACCUUGAGCUGAUCAAGAUCGAACUCCUAGCAGUUGGCCGAAUUAACCUACAGUACUGCAAUAUAACCACUACACCACCACAACUCUAUAGUCCCAUCAAUCUUUGUGUGUAUGUGUGUGUCUCCGUGUCCUAUAUUGACCACUUUGGGGAACCUUGCUGUAAGGAAUAAUGGUAAAAGGACUCGAUUAGGAAUGAAAAAUCCUGCCACAAGGGAUAAGGAAGCCACAGUAAGGACAGAACAUAGCAAAACAGAUUGGUCCCAGGUGAACAAAGGAAUAAGGAAAAGAACACCGGCACCUUAUCAAUCUGUUGCCAUCAGACACAUUUAAAUCCAUCAAAUGACUGGGAAAAAAAUGAGCUGCACUUUGGAACUGAUAGAUACUCAGACAGAAUAGAAGUUUUACUUGAGACUUUCUUUGCCACCUUUCAAAACAAGUUUUCUUAAGAUGACUAGUGGUCAUCUUGAAGGAGGCACUUAGAUCUGAAUUCUGUAGGAAAGCACACCAAGUUAAACACUUAAAUUAUUACUGGUUGUUUACUCCGCCUUUACUCACUUUAAGAAUGCUUUCCAUUGAUUGAUUGAUUGAUUUGAUUUUUAUCCUGUUGCCAUUAUAUAUUAAUCAAAACAACAAUAGAAUUGGAACAGGGUACAAUCUGGAUGGUGACAGUAGAACCAAUAGAAAAUAGAGAGCAAAGUAAUAACAAUAGUUGCAGGUGAAAGGUUCUUUGAAAUAUCUCCAUUUUAAUACUUCCCUAAUUAUUAGCCAUAGUUAAUUAUUAAAGAGGAAAGCAGUCUGAUCUCACUGAGGAGCCAUUCCAUAGUGUUGGCACUGCUGCACAGAAGCAGUGCCAUCUAGAUGGUGAUUCUGCUGACAUCCCAGAAAUGUGAGACAACAAAGAGUCCCUUCCUACAUGAUGACAACAGGCUAGGUUGAAUCCAGUUAGAUGAGGCAGUUCUUGGCAUACUGAAAUGCUAUCGAGCUUUAUAGCUUAUUACCAACAUUUUAAAUUGUUCUUAGAGCUGAACUAGAAACCAGGGCAGGGCCUAUAAUUGGAAACUAAUUAAGGAGAGAAACAACCUAGAACCAAGGAGAAUUUCCUAACAGUAAGAACGAUUAAUCAGUGGAUAAAUCUCCUCCAGAACUGACUGCUCCAACAUUGGAAGUUUUUAAGAAGAGAUCAGACAACUAUUUGUCUGACAUGGUAUAGCGCUUCCUGCCUGUACAGGGGGUUGGACUAGAAGACCUCCAAGGUCCCUUCCAACUCUGUUAUUUUGUAUUCUGUAUACAGAUGUAAUAUGCUUGCAACUUCAGCUGCCUGAUCUAAUUAACAUAUGAUCCACCACAUUCUGGAUUAAUUGUACUUUCUGGGUAAUUUAAAGGCAGCCCUAUAGAAAACAUGCAGAAAUCUAUCUGGGCGAUGAUGAGGGCAUUACAAUCACUAGGUCUUCCUGCAUCAGAUAAGGAUGCAAUAGGUGCAACUGCUGAAGCUGGCCUUCCCCCACCAAUGGUCCAAGCAGGAGCCAUCGGUCCAGAAGAAUCCUGAA